Molecule: long non-coding RNA, 815 nt
Organism: Zonotrichia albicollis (white-throated sparrow)
Lineage: Eukaryota; Metazoa; Chordata; Aves; Passeriformes; Passerellidae
Source: RefSeq, a predicted model, not a curated record
CGGAAUUAAUGUCCCAGGGCGCUCAGUGCCGUUAUCAGGCUUGGGUGAAUGGGUGACGAGAACUGACAGCAAGGAUUGAUACAAGAAGAAAGGGGAUGGAGCUGAGAUUCAGACAUCAUCUACUUACGUGCCAGAUGCUGGGGAAUACGUCUGGUCCAGGUAGCUGAGAUCGCAAGCUGCUGACUGAGAUUAAGCAGGUUAAGCUUUGGGUGGGAGCCCGAGAUAAGAGACCGUGAGCUGCCAACCUUCGGGAUAUCCAAGGGCGCGAAGAUGGGUGACGCUAGUCAUGUGAACAGACUCGGGGAGACCCAGCAGGAGCCUGGAAUUGCCGACUUUUUGGGUAGCAAACGAGAUGAAGAGCGCCAGCCAAGUCAUUGAACACUGAGAGUGGGACAAGAGCCGAAGACCCCGGCAGGACUGGCUCAGGGGACGACUGAGGCUGUAGAAGCCUGGAGGUUCUUUAUGUAGGUGCUCUCCUCAGAGGCACCAGCUCGAGCUGUUCCUGUGUUACUGCACAGGAAUAAAUUGCUUUAUGGAACGAGAUAUCUGGGACUCUGCUGUGGGAAAGCGGGGUCGAACGCCAUCUUAGAAGAAAGGCAAGUUUUUAUUUACAAGAUGGCAACAUGGGAUAAACAUGAGUCAUCUCUCUGCUCUUCAGGAGGAAGUACUGAAUCUCAAGUUUUCAAGUGGACACAUGCUCAGCCACAGAUAGUUUUGUUUUUACAGGUUACUCCCCAGUUAAGACCAGGAAACCCUAAUUCUAUGUCAAGUAUUUCAGAAUGGUAUUAAUAAAAAACCCUGUGAUUACAAAGUCA